UACGUAGGGGGCAAGCGUUGUCCGGAAUCAUUGGGCGUAAAGAGCGUGUAGGCGGCUCGGUAAGUCCGCUGUGAAAGUCCAGGGCUCAACCCUGGAAAGCCGGUGGAAACUGUCGAGCUCGAGUCCGGAAGAGGCGAGUGGAAUUCCGAGUGUAGAGGUGAAAUUCGUAGAUAUUCGGAGGAACACCAGUGGCGAAGGCGACUACCUGGCCUGUUCUUGACGCUGAGGCGCGAAAGCUAGGGGAGCAAACGGG
RNAcentral lists this ribosomal RNA (253 nucleotides) under uncultured bacterium. Its description in RNAcentral is "partial 16S ribosomal RNA". It matches the Rfam family "Bacterial small subunit ribosomal RNA", at positions 524 to 776 of the family's 1533-position model. The record is from RNAcentral.